GAUGAACGCUGGCGGCGUGCUUAACACAUGCAAGUCGAACGGAAAGGCCCAAGCUUGCUUGGGUACUCGAGUGGCGAACGGGUGAGUAACACGUGGGUGAUCUGCCCUGCACUUCGGGAUAAGCCUGGGAAACUGGGUCUAAUACCGGAUAGGACCACUUCUUGGAUGUUGUGGUGGAAAGUUUUUUGGGUGUGGGGUGAGCUCGCGGCCUAUCAGCUUGUUGGUGGGGUAAUGGCCUACCAAGGCGUCGACGGGUAGCCGGCCUGUGAGGGUGUACGGCCACAUUGGGACUGAGGUACGGCCCAGACUCCUACGGGAGGCAGCAGGGGGGAAUAUUGCACAAUGGGCGCAAGCCUGAUGCAGCGACGCCGCGUGGGGGAUGACGGCCUUCGGGUUGUAAACUCCUUUCGCUAGGGACGAAGCGUUUUGUGACGGUACCUGGAGAAGAAGCACCGGCUAACUACGUG
Molecule: ribosomal RNA, 467 nt
Filed under: uncultured bacterium
Lineage: Bacteria
Description: partial 16S ribosomal RNA
Rfam family: Bacterial small subunit ribosomal RNA
Source: RNAcentral